This 846-nucleotide ribosomal RNA is filed under the name uncultured bacterium. RNAcentral describes it as "bacterial SSU rRNA". It matches the Rfam family "Bacterial small subunit ribosomal RNA", at positions 51 to 898 of the family's 1533-position model. The record is from RNAcentral.
ACACAUGCAAGUCGAACGAGCAAAUACAUUUGAUUUCUUCGGAAUGAAGAUGUAGGCGCGAGUGGCGGACGGGUGAGUAACGCGUGAGUAAUCUGCCUCAUACAGGAGAAUAACACUAAGAAAUUGGUGCUAAUACUCCAUAAGCUCACAUUAUGACAUCAUAGAGUGAGAAAAGAUUUAUCGGUAUGAGAGGAGCUCGCGUCUGAUUAGCUAGUUGGUGGGGUAACGGCCUACCAAGGCGACGAUCAGUAGCCGACCUGAGAGGGUGAUCGGCCACAUUGGAACUGAGACACGGUCCAAACUCCUACGGGAGGCAGCAGUGGGGAAUAUUGCACAAUGGGGGAAACCCUGAUGCAGCAACGCCGCGUGAAGGGAGAAGUAUUUCGGUAUGUAAACUUCUAUCGACAGGGAAGAAACAAAUGACGGUACCUGAAUAAGAAGCACCGGCUAAAUACGUGCCAGCAGCCGCGGUAAUACGUAUGGUGCAAGCGUUAUCCGGAUUUACUGGGUGUAAAGGGUGAGUAGGCGGUCAUGCAAGUCAUAUGUGAAAUGUCAGGGCUUAACCUUGGCGCUGCAUAAGAAACUGUAUGACUAGAGUGCAGGAGAGGUAAGCGGAAUUCCUAGUGUAGCGGUGAAAUGCGUAGAUAUUAGGAAGAACACCGGUGGCGAAGGCGGCUUACUGGACUGUUACUGACGCUGAGUCACGAAAGCGUGGGGAGCAAACAGGAUUAGAUACCCUGGUAGUCCACGCCGUAAACGAUGAGUGCUAGGUGUUGGCCAGAGAUGGUCGGUGCCGCAGCAAACGCAAUAAGCACUCCACCUGGGGAGUACGACCGCAAGGUUGAA